This 73-nucleotide transfer RNA is filed under the name Bos taurus (domestic cattle). It matches the Rfam family "tRNA". Rfam says of the family: Transfer RNA (tRNA) molecules are approximately 80 nucleotides in length. Their secondary structure includes four short double-helical elements and three loops (D, anti-codon, and T loops). Further hydrogen bonds mediate the characteristic L-shaped molecular structure. tRNAs have two regions of fundamental functional importance: the anti-codon, which is responsible for specific mRNA codon recognition, and the 3' end, to which the tRNAs corresponding amino acid is attached (by aminoacyl-tRNA synthetases). tRNAs cope with the degeneracy of the genetic code in two manners: having more than one tRNA (with a specific anti-codon) for a particular amino acid; and 'wobble' base-pairing, i.e. permitting non-standard base-pairing at the 3rd anti-codon position. RNAcentral also lists the same sequence under 5 other names. Lineage: Eukaryota; Metazoa; Chordata; Mammalia; Artiodactyla; Bovidae. The record is from Rfam by way of RNAcentral.
UCCCUUGUGGCUUAGAGGUUAAAAGUGUCUGCCUGCAAUGCGGGAGACCUGGGUUCGAUCCCUGGGUCGGGAA